Molecule: ribosomal RNA, 468 nt
Filed under: uncultured bacterium
Lineage: Bacteria
Description: partial 16S ribosomal RNA
Rfam family: Bacterial small subunit ribosomal RNA
Source: RNAcentral
GACGAACGCUGGCGGCGUGCUUAACACAUGCAAGUCGAACGGAAAGGCCCUGCUUUUGUGGGGUGCUCGAGUGGCGAACGGGUGAGUAACACGUGAGUAACCUGCCCUUGACUUUGGGAUAACUUCAGGAAACUGGGGCUAAUACCGGAUAGGAGCUCCUGCUGCAUGGUGGGGGUUGGAAAGUUUCGGCGGUUGGGGAUGGACUCGCGGCUUAUCCGCUUGUUGGUGGGGUAGUGGCUUACCAAGGCUUUGACGGGUAGCCGGCCUGAGAGGGUGACCGGCCACAUUAGGACUGAGAUACGGCCCAGACGGCUACGGGAGGCAACAGUGGGGAAUAUGACACAAUGGGCGGAAGCCUGAUGCAGCAACGCCGCGUGCGUGAUGACGGCCUUCGGGUGGUAAACCGCUGUCGCCUGUGACGAAGCGUGAGUGACGGUAAUGGGUAAAGAAGCACCGGCUAACUACGUG